CCUGAAACUGUUUAAUCUAAUGUCUGACUUAUAGCUAUGGCAAAAUUUUUCCCUUUUUCGAUUUCCUUAGAUUUGUAAGUAUUGUGGUGGAGGCAUUACCAUCUUCCCAUUUAAAUUCAGAAAAAAAAAUUGACAUGUUGUACUUUGUGACAGAAUUUCUGAGUUCUGUAGGCGUUUUGGAGUCAUAGGCAGAACAUAUAACUAGAAUACAAAUAAUCAAAACCUGUUGAUUUUCCUGACUUAGGAGAAGUUGUUUUAACUUUCAAUUUAUGAUAAUGUUCAGUAGAAAACUGAAACUUAUAACCACUUAAGAAAGUUUCUACCUUUUCUUUGUAAAAGUUCCUGUUUUAGUGAAGGUUUCAGUAUGUCUCAUUUGUAAUUUUUAUU
RNAcentral lists this long non-coding RNA (387 nucleotides) under Bos taurus (domestic cattle). RNAcentral's name for it is "long non-coding RNA NONBTAT021830". Lineage: Eukaryota; Metazoa; Chordata; Mammalia; Artiodactyla; Bovidae. The record is from RNAcentral.